This 492-nucleotide ribosomal RNA is filed under the name uncultured bacterium. Its description in RNAcentral is "partial 16S ribosomal RNA". It matches the Rfam family "Bacterial small subunit ribosomal RNA", at positions 29 to 507 of the family's 1533-position model. The record is from RNAcentral.
AGUGAACGCUGGCGGUAGGCCUAACACAUGCAAGUCGAACGGCAGCACAGUAAGAGCUUGCUCUUACGGGUGGCGAGUGGCGGACGGGUGAGGAAUACAUCGGAAUCUACUUUUUCGUGGGGGAUAACGUAGGGAAACUUACGCUAAUACCGCAUACGACCUACGGGUGAAAGCAGGGGAUCUUCGGACCUUGCGCGAUUGAAUGAGCCGAUGUCGGAUUAGCUAGUUGGCGGGGUAAAGGCCCACCAAGGCGACGAUCCGUAGCUGGUCUGAGAGGAUGAUCAGCCACACUGGAACUGAGACACGGUCCAGACUCCUACGGGAGGCAGCAGUAGGGAAUCUUCCGCAAUGGGCGAAAGCCUGACGGAGCAACGCCGCGUGAGUGAUGAAGGUCUUCGGAUCGUAAAACUCUGUUAUUAGGGAAGAACAAAUGUGUAAGUAACUAUGCACGUCUUGACGGUACCUAAUCAGAAAGCCACGGCUAACUACGUG